Mirounga angustirostris (Northern elephant seal) is the source of this 7810-nucleotide RNA transcript. It is a transcript of the gene named protein CutA homolog, with no coding region annotated. NCBI's taxonomy places the organism in Eukaryota, Metazoa, Chordata, Mammalia, Carnivora, Phocidae. The record is from RefSeq and is a predicted model, not a curated record. The transcript has 5 exons.
GGAGGCCGUCACGGGCCGGGCCAACUGUCGCCGGUGGUUACGGGGUUGCGGCCGGGUGUCAUCGUGGGCGCCGCUUGGUGGGUCGCGGAGGCCGACUUUCCGGUCGGCUUGCGUAUUUCCCGCAGAGAGCGAAGGCGCGUCAGAUGCCCGGCAAGCGGAGUGGUGACAAUGAGGACCCACAGAAGGUUAAACGGCCUCGCGGGCGGCCGCCCGGUCCCAAAGCCAGGCUGUCGGCUGCGGCGAGGGCGGCGGUGGUGGAGGCCGCCGCGGCUUGGGCAGCGGCCGAGGCCACCCCCGGCGGCGCGGAGGCUAUGGGCAUCCUGCUUCCGGGCCAGACACGAAUCAAGAGGAGGCGGAGGGUCAUGCCUCUGGAAGACAAGAUGAAAAUUCUCGAGAAGCUGGAAGAAGGCGUGAGUAACACCGACGUGGGGCGCCUGUUUGGCGUCAACGAGUCGACCGUGCGCACCAUUAAGAAAAACGAGAAGGCCAUCAGGGCCAGCAUGGAGAGUGUUUCGCCCGUGUCCUCCAAGGUGCUGUGCAUUCCCCGUGACGUAAACAUCGAGAAGAUGGAGACCGAGUUAACCUUCUGGGUGGAGGACCAGACCAUAGGGGGCCGGCCUCUGACGCUGAAGGCCAUCUGCAGCCAGGCCAAACGCAUUUACAAGCAGCUGGUCGAAACCACUGGCAACGGCAACCCGGAUAAGUUUCAUGCGAGCAAGGGAUGGUUUGAGAAGUUUAGAAAUCGCUACAGUCUGCGAAAUUCGAGGUUGAUGGGGGAGGAAGAACCCCUGAAUGCCCAGUCGGCACCCAAGUAUUCCAAACAACUGCAGAGACUGAUCAGAGCCAGAGGCUACGUGCCUCAACAGGUCUUCAACGCCGAGGAGAUGAGCCUGUUUUGGAAGUGCAUGCCUUCACGUACUUUUAGGGAAAAAGACAAAAAUCCCGAAAGCUUAGAGGAAGCUAAGGACAGGAUUUCCCUCAUUUUUUGUGCCAACGCCGCCGGUGACAAAAUGAUAAAGCCCUUGCUGCUUUAUAAAGACCCCAAUCCCACUUGUCUUUUGGAAAAAGAUAAAAACCGCCUUCCUGUGUUCUGGCGAUCACACCCCAAAGUAUCAUUAACUGCUGCCCUCUUUUUGGAUUGGUUUCAUAAUUGUUUUAUCCAUCAGGCCCGGAGUUAUUUAAUAGAAAAAAAUCUUGAGUUCAGAGUGUUGCUAAUUCUGGACAGAGGUCCCAAUCACCCAGACUCAUUAUUCUUUGCUCAUCCUAAUGUUGAUAUUGUGUUCCUCCCUCUGGAAGGCACUAGCUAUCUUCAGCCCUUGGACCAGGGUAUAAUUGAAGCAUUCAGGAGGUAUUACACUAAGCAUAUGUUUGACCACUUUGCUGACUGUAUUGAAAAAAACCCCUGUCUUACUUUGAAAGAAACAUGGCAACAGUACAACAUUGCUGAUGCUUUGGUAGUGAUAAAAGAGGCAAUGGAUGAUAUAAAACCGGCUGCUCUUAAUAAAGCCUGGUGGAAACUUUGGGAUGAUGUUGUGAAUGAUUAUGCGUGUUUCCCUAGAGCUAAUGAAGAAGUUGCAAAAAUCGUAGAGUCUGCAAAACGGAUGGACUUUAAAUUCCUUGACAUUGAAGAGGGUGAAAUUAAUGAGCUGCUCAAGUUUCAGGCUUUGGCCAUAACUGAGAGAGAGUCUGUAUCAAUAAGUACGGAAGAAGACAAGUCCCCGGAACCAGAGGUAAAGAUGAAUUUAAGGAAAUUGAAUGCUGUCUUACGCCAGGCCUCAGACCUCAUUGAUGCUGCAAUUGAUAUGGAUCCUUUCCUGGACCGAAGUUUGGCCUUUAAAAAAGACUUCAAUAAAUUGUUAUAUACCUAUAAAGAGGUACAGAAGAACCUUCAAAAUAAAGCAAAGGAGUUGAAGAAAGAAAAAGACACAAACAAAGAGGAAGUAGUGUGGAUGAAGAAGAUGGAUACAGAAUCAGAGUCCGAAGGGGAGUCUGAAUCUGAAUCCGAGUCUAAAUCCGAAUCUGAAUCCCAUAAGGAGGAGCAGGUAGAGAGAAGGAAAGAGGACAAGAAGCCUCCAGAAGAAGAUCCUGGACCCUCAAGCAGUGGCACUGAGACUCUCACUAUAUCUGAAGAAUCUGCCAAAGCCAUAAAUGCAGAAUUGGACUUUUGGAAUCUAACCUUGGAAUUGAAUCUGGAGAGAGUAGAUGUGCCUGAGUUAAAGGAAGAGAAUCCAGAGGCAGUUCCUUCCAAAUGACAGUUCAUCUCUUGCCAUUUUUCCCCUGUUGCCCCAACAUCUCCCUUCAUCAUGACCAUCCUUAUCAUCACCAGCCACACAUCCGUAUCAUUUAGUCAUUCAACAAACAGUUACUGAGCAUAAGCUGUGUGGGGUCCUGUGCUAAAAUUGGGGACAUCAUCUCAGGAAAUCAUCUCGGGAUCUAAGAUCCUGACAGCUUCUUUCCUGUCAUACCCCAUAUUCAGGACCCUUAGCCUGCGGCUCCAUUCAGCUGUCACCGGCAGCUAUGUUUCCGGCACUUACUCCAUCGUCUUUGUCAACUGUCCCAAUGAGCAAAUUGCCAGAGAUAUUGCCAGGGCUAGCCUGGAUAAGAAGCUGGCUGCCUCUGUGAACAUCCUGCCCAAGGCAUCCUCACUGUACUUUUGGAAUGGAGAAAUCGAAGAAGCCACUGAAAUCCUGUUGCUAAUAAAGACAAAGACUUCCAAGGUCCACGUGCUAUCCAGCUAUAUCAGGUAAUGUUGGCAUCUCUUCUCAGGCAGGGACGUACUAGGGACUAAGUGAAUAAGCUUGAAAAUCAGGAGACUAGAGCCUAGUCACCAACCUCCCACAUGACCCUCGGCACAUCCUUGCCCCUCAGAUUCUUCAUCUGUAAAAUGAGAGGCUAGAAUGAGUUUGUUGACAAUGGUUCUCAAAAUUUUAGUCUCAGGAUCCCUUUACACGUUUAAAAAUUAUCGGGGGGCCAGAGGAGCUUUGUUUGCAUGGGUUAUAUUAAAGUUUAUUGUGUUAGAAAUUAAAACUGGGGCGCCUGGGUGGCUCAGUUGGUUAAGCAACUGCCUUCGGCUCAGAUCAUGAUCUUGGAGUCCCGGGAUCGAGUCCUGCAUCGGGCUCCCUGCUCAGCAGGGAGUCUGCUUCUCCCUCUGAUCCUCCCCCUCUCAUGCUCUCUGUCUCCCAUUCUCUCUCUCAGAUAAAAAAAAAAAAAAAAAAGAAAUUAAAACUGAUAAAUUAAAAAAAUAUUUUAGUUCUUUUAAAAUAAUAAUAGGUAUACCUGGUGGCUUGGUUGGUUAAGCAUCCAGCUCUUGAUUUCAACUCAGGUCAUGAUCUCAGGAUCCUGGGAUUGAGCUCCAUGUCAGGCUCUGCGCUAGGCAUGGAGCCUGCUUAAGAUUUUCUCUCUCCCUCUCUCUCUGCCCCUCACCCCCCCAAAAUAAAACAAACAAAUACGUACACUGACGUGUGUCCCUAAAAUAAGAAAAUUCACUGUCUUGAGUCAUUGGAUAAAAUUACCCCAACUCCCAAAUGUUUAAGCACCUGUGCAUGUGCCAUGAUUACUAAGGAUGCUAUCUCAUGAGAACUUGACCGUGCCUCUUUCACUGGAAAGGAAGCAGGGAUUAUCACCCCAUUUGACAGAUGGGGAACUGAGGCCCAAGGCCUCACAUAUCUGCCUUGUGUGCUGAGGGCCAGGUGAAAGAAAUGGAGAGAAGGGAGAGAUCCCUGUGGCUUUGGAUAGUCGAGGAAGAUCCCUUGGAGAAGGUCAGUGGUUGAGUUGGGACUUGAGGGAUAGAUAAGCUUUUAAGUGAUCAACGGAGAACUUUAUAGAUGGACAAGAGAAUCCGGAGGUAUGGGGGGGUGGGGCUUGUUUGGGGAAGGCACAGUGAUGAGUGUGGGAUAGUAAUGAAGAUAGUAAGUGACAUUUAACGAGGGCACACAAGGCUGGUCAGUAUACCAGGUAAGCGCUUCAUGUGUCUCAUUGCAUUUAAUCCUUGGCAGUCCAGUCGCGGAGGAACUAUUUUUAUCCCCUCUUUUGUAGGGCCUUUGGAGAAACAAAGUGACCUGUCCAUAGUUCCAUAGCUAUGAGGAGGGGCAGACUUAGAAUUUGAACCCAUGACUGUGAGACUAAAGCCAUCUGGCCCAACUCCCCACUUGUUGACAGGUGGGAAACAGGCUCAGAAGCGGUGGGCCACUGCGCUGGACAAGAUGGGCUACGGCAGAUCGCAGGGCAGCUCAGGUGACACUUUCCAGUUGGGUCUAAUUGCAUAGACUGGUUCUAACCCUCAUCACUUACAGGGCUCUGCUUUCUUUCCAAAGGUUGGUGCAUCCUUUUGAAAUCCCAGAAGUCUUCAGUCUUCCCAUGGACCAAGGAGAUGUCCACUAUUUCAAGUGGCUGGAGGAGGGCAUGGAGGAGGACUGAUUUGGGGCAGGGGCGGGGGGAGGCUUUUGUGUCUCCUGAUGGCUGCCUCUAGGGAAGGGGGGUCUCUCUCUGUUUCCUGGCACCUCUGGAUUCUGUGUCAUUACAUCACGGAAGAGCUAAGGAACUUGAGAGGCUGAAGGUCUGAGCCCCUGAGGCUGGAAGAAGAGGCUGGGUUGGUCGGGCCAACCAAGAACCCGGUGGAAUUUGUCUCGAGUGCUUCAGGCUUAAAGGUGGCCAGGGGGUGGGAGGGCGAGGAUGGUUAUGUGGGGAGGCCAAGGGGAGGUGGCAGUGAGGGUGAGGUUUGUCAUCUGCUCCUUCAGUCACUGGGCCUACCUCGAGUGCCCAGGAUGUAAUUACUCUUCUGCUUCUCAUGAGGAGGAAUGGACCUGGUGACCUGUUUACCCGAAGUGUGUGGGCUGAAUGUCGCCUUCUAGGGGAACUGGCAAGCCCUUUAUCCAAAAGGAUGAAUUGCUAAUGGUAGAAAUUUAGGGACAAGCAGGAUUAUUUCUUGUAACUAAAGAUGCUAUUUGUUAUUCCUGAGUCCUGAGGAGGUGGGAAUGGGCUUCAUGAGUGUGGGUAGGACUGGGGGAACAUUAGGUAUUAGACACAGCCUCAUGGCUUAGAAGCAGGUCUAGACUCUUCUGUAGCCUGAAUGUGAUGGGUAUCAGAAGGUUCUGGUGCCUUGCUCAUUGGAGACAUAGGUUCUGAGCCCAUGGUACUAACCUUGUCAGUUGAGCAUUGAAACUGAGCAUCCUAAAGUGGCAAGAGCCCUGGGAACUGCCAGACCAGUGUUUUCCAGACUUGUUCCCUUGGGUCUCAGAAGUUGACAGAUGGUACCCUGGGUGCUUCCUGGGUGGGGGUAAGGGUAUGAGGCUCCCCACCCAUACCUCAACCAGUAUAACUACCUUUUACCAUUUUUAUGUAUUAAGCUCACUUGUAAGAUUUUGGGUUUGGUUUGGUUUUGUUAAUUUUUUUGGUUAAAAGCUAGUAAACCAGUGUUCUAAGCCAGUCUCCAUUUUAUAGAUUACCAAAGGAAACUGAACUGCACUGAGGUCCAGCAAGGGGGUGGCGUGUUGCGUUAAGGAUGGUAAGGCCAAGCCUACUCACCCUGUGUCUGGUGCUCCUCUACCUGCUCCCUGGGUCUCAGGUGGAAGAGAGCAGGGAAGGCAGAGCCCCUUUGGGGUGAGAAGAAAGACUUGAGCUAGGCCCCCUCCAUGAACCUGUCACAAGGUAACCUCGCUCUGGGGAGACUCAUGGGCAGUUUGGGUGGGGGUCCACAGACCUCUGUGGAAUCCCAGGUCUUCCCAGAGGGAAGGGUAUGUGGGAUGGGUAUUUACUGCCAGGCUCUGGUUCUGACACGAGCUGUGCUUCUUAAACCUUAGUGCCUCCAAAUAUAAAAUGGAGGCCCUCCCAGGGCCCUUCUGUGAAGCUCUUGUAGGGACUUAAGGCAGAGGCUCUUCCAAAGGUCCAGAGGAUCCUUUUUUGAUAGCCAGUGGGGAUUUUGGAGGGUUACCUCAGGAGAAGGACAAAGAGAAUGAUAAUGGUGAUGUCCCUUUUUACAACAGAUGUUUCUGAUACACGCGAAAAUCUUGGAUAAAGUAAGCCCUAGGGAAAAUGCUUUGGGGACCCCAGAAGGACUGCCUCUGUUGCUUUCGGGUUAGAGCCCAGUUUCUUUCUUUUUUUUUUUUUUUAAAGAUUUUAUUUAUUUAUUUGACAGAGAGAGAGAGCAUAAGCAGGGGGAGUGGCAGGCAGAGGCAGAGGGAGAAGCAGACUCCCCGCAGAGCAGGGGGAGCCUGAUGCGGGACUCGAUCCCAGGACCCUGGGAUCAUGACCUGAGCCGAAGGCAGUCGCUUAACCAGCUGAGCCACCCAGGCGCCCUAGAGCCCAGUUUCUUGGUCUGGCCUUCAAGGCCCUUCAUAGCCUUGCCUCCCCUCACUUUUUCCAUCUUCACCUUCCACCUGUCCUUGCCCACGCUGGCAAGGAGAUGUCUCCAGUAGGCUGUGUGAAGCUAUUCCUGUGUUCGGGCCUCCCCUCGGCCUGGAGCGCCGCCCGCAUGAAUGCCUGGGAAAUCUGGCUGCUCCUUUGCAAGGCCAGCUCUGCUUGGAGGGAAGCUCUCUGGCCUCGGUGUCCCUGUUAUCCUUGUGUAUCACGGUCAUCCUCCUGUUUCUAGAUCAUGAACUACUCGAGGUCAAGGGCAUGUCUGAAUCUGUUUGAGCUCUUGCACAGGAUUGGGCAAGGAUUUGAAUAAAGAGUUCUCUGUAGCCCACAGUUACUCAGCUAUGGAAUUGGCAAAGUCCAGCCUUUUUUCUUGGAACUUUCUUAAAGUGGGACUAAUUCCAAAGGAGAUUUUUCUAUUUCUGGCCUUCAUUGGGGCAUUUUCUGUGCUGACUGCACAGAAAACUGUCUCUUGGGGGACUUCCUUUGCCUCAGUGUCCCAGCUGGCUACAGGAAAUGGGAGAGGGGAGGACAAACGCCAGCUCUCUGCCUGGUGCUCUCCUAGGUUCUCCACAUUAUUUUAUCUUCUAACUCAUUGUUCUCCUCAGCUGGAAGCUGACUCCUGAGAUCAGAGAGCAUGACACUUAAAAUACUUGGCCGACUAGGCUGUGAACCCAUGUGUCCAAUUCUAGAUCUGAUGCUCUUACUGCCUCCUUCAGAGAGGUUGGACAUACCCUUGGUAGGCCAAACACCUUGAGAGCCUACUGUAGCCAAUUCUAAAAGAAGGGGUAUUGGUUCCAAAAAACUCUGUGCAGUAAGUUGAUCUGACACUUAAAAAUGUAUUGUUUACUUCUCCCCACUUAUCUGGAGGCUGGUGACAGGAUCUUUAUUCUGCAGAUGAGGGAACAGAUCUAGAGGAGAUGAGUGAUUUUUCAGGUCUGCGUGACUCCCAGCUUACUCACCCUAGACCACACUGUCCCUCCAGAGUGCUGCUGUGGGGCUGGGCUAGGACCUAGACUAGCGGCUCCAUGCAGGAAUGCCUUCCCAGCAUUUCUCAGGGAAGGUCUGUUUUUUGAAUCCAAAAUCUCCAGAAAAGUCACUUGAGGAAAUGAGAAAAAAAUAUUAAAAUUAUCUGUGAAUACUGAAGCUUAAAAGCAUAGAGAUGUCAACUGGUUUGAAGAAAUCAUCAGAUAAAAAAAGCAAGAAACACCAACAUGCGGAGUUGAGGGUUGAAGGGAACCAGGACAGGAGUGCGCAGGAGAGAAAUGAUUACCAUGGAAUCAGUCUUGCUUGCAAUUGUUGCUGAGUCCCAAGUGCAUCUGUCUAGCCCUAUCUGCUGCAAACUGAGUUAUUUUUGCAGAUAAGUUUAUACACAUAGUAUACAUUAAACAAAUUCUGUGAGCUUUGUUUGAAGAAAUAAGCUUUGAAAGAAAAAUAAAUUUUAAUUGAGCAAUUCCGA